This 57-nucleotide small nuclear RNA is filed under the name Amazona aestiva (blue-fronted amazon). RNAcentral's name for it is "U7 small nuclear RNA". It matches the Rfam family "U7 small nuclear RNA". From Rfam's summary of the family: Animal histone pre-mRNAs are spliced by a different mechanism than nuclear pre-mRNAs and self-splicing introns. Lineage: Eukaryota; Metazoa; Chordata; Aves; Psittaciformes; Psittacidae. The record is from Rfam by way of RNAcentral.
CAGUGAUUUCAGCUCUUUUAGUAUUUGUCCAGCAUUCCCGCCGCGCGGGAAGCCCCA